AUGGGUCAUCGAAGGUUUCUUGAUCCUAACCAUGAAUACAAAUUUGAUGAAGAAUCCUUUGAUGGUGUGAAAUUAGGGACAACACCUGGACCACUUACUGGAGACGAAGUUUUGGCCCUCACUGAAAAUAUGAAGACUGUUUUUGCAAAGGACCCUUCCGGGAAAACAACCACAAAGAAGACCAAGGUUGGCGAACCACCAAUGGUUCGGAAAAGAAAAUCCAUAUGGUUUAGGUUGAGAUACUGGAACGACUUGCUACAGCCUCAUAAUCUUGAUGCAAUGCACAUUGAAAUGAAUGUAUGUGAAAAUAUAAUUAACACACUUCUAUGUAUGGAUAACAAAUCAAAAGAUAAGUAUAGCCCUCAUAGAGAUCUAGAGCAUCUUCGAAUAAGAAAAUCUCUCCAACCUGUCCCAGUAGGUGAACAAUUUGAUUUGCCUGCUGCACCCUAUGGAAUGGACAAUGAAAAGAAGAAAUUGUUUUGUGAAAUUUUUAAGGAAGCUAUGUUCCCUGAUGGUUGUGCAUCUGAUAUACGCUGGAAUGUCCUUGUGAAGCAGAAAAAGAUCGUUCGGCUGAAGAGCCAUGACAAUCACAUUCUUUUGCAGCAAUUGCUUCCAGUAGAUGUUCGGAACACAUUGCCAAAGGAAGUCGGUAUUGCCUUGGUUCGUGUCAGCAGAUUCUUCAAGCAAAUAUAUUCUCCUGUCAUUAGCAUAAGUGACAUGGAGAAGCUAGAGGGAGAAAUAGCUGAGACCUUGAGCAUUCUUGAAGCCAUAUUUCUGCCAUCAUUUUUUGAAUUUAUGGUUCACUUGAUGAUUUAUCUUCCAACCCAAGUGAGGCUCGGGGUUCCAAUAAAGUACAGCAGCAUGUACCCAGUAGAAAGGUAUAAUAUGAAGCUAAAGGGGUUUGUACAUACCAAGAACCACCCCGAGGGGUCAAUUGCAGAGGGCUAUGUGUUUGAUGAAAGCUUUACAUUCUGCUCUCGUUAUUUACAUGGAUGUGAGACUAGAUUUAAUAGAAAAUGCUGAAAUGACACCCUUGAGACCAAUGUAUCUACUAUGCCAUUUUUUAUCAACAAGGGUCGAUUUUUGGCUGGAAAGCAUAUAGUGACCUUAGAUCACAAGUCAUGGCUGCAAGCACAUCGAUGUGUUUUGUUUAAUUAUGAUAACAUAGAUUCAUAUUUCAGGUAUUUUAUUUCUAAGAUUUUCUUUCAUUUGAGCCUAUGA
RNAcentral lists this ribosomal RNA (1221 nucleotides) under Triticum aestivum (bread wheat). Its description in RNAcentral is "partial small subunit ribosomal RNA". The record is from RNAcentral. Lineage: Eukaryota; Viridiplantae; Streptophyta; Magnoliopsida; Poales; Poaceae.